CACUGUUGAAUUCUGUAAAACAUAACACAAAUGGGAGAUUGAUUUUUAAAUAAGUUUGUCAACAAUUUCCCUAAAAUAACCCAUUUUAUGUUCCCCAGACAGGUAAUUUGUUUUCCUCCUAUUUACGUAUUGUAUAUAUUUAACUACCCGACAAUAUAAAAACACACCUGCUGGUUUUUACAGUGCAGAGCAGUAAACUUGGAGGUGUCGAUGUUCGUAAACUUCCCCACAGGAAACAGCAAAGCUGAAAACAGGGACACAGAAAUGUACAUAAAUUAUCAGCAAUGAUUAAACUUUUAAUGAUCCCAUACUGAACUUAUUUUAAUUUCUUUUUUAAUAUUGAGAUAAAAGACGCGGAAAUUCGUUUUAUGCCAUUACUCUAAGUAAUGCUUCUGGGUUUUUUUUUUAAUUUAUGUUGCUUUAAGAUGAUUUGUUACUGUUGCUGCUGUUAUUGUUGUUUUUAUUUGUUUCCGGAGCACCAUAUAAUUUUGUUCUUGAAUUAUGGUACAUGUACUUUGUACGUGAUACUUGACCACCCUCUAGUGGAAUGAAGGUUAAAACACAGUUAGGGUUUAAAGCAACUGUACUGUUUUCCUGUCUGCUCCUGGCCUGUAGGAGGAAACCCUGGAACUCCACACUGCUGCUCUUCAGCACCUCCACUGUGACUGCAAAGACAAAAGCAGGUGGUGCUGGAGGUGGACAGCCUAAAUGGAGGACUGCUGGUGGAGGGGGUAAAGGGCGGGUGUUCAGGCAUCAUGUUGCCACAGGAGAAUGCCACAGAGCCGUUGGGGAAGCACAGGCACAGUUCCACAGAGAACGCACAGACGACUGUUAACAGAGGCACACAGAGUGAUGGAGACAUCUGGAAGAGACGAGAGAUGACAAGUGUGUGUGUGUGUGUGCUGUGGCAGCCAAGACCACCAAAUGCUCGGGUGGAUUUGACCGUUUUGAUAAAGCUGGAGCUGCUCAAUAGUUUGUGCUUAAAUUCACUGUAUCAUCCAGUGAGUGAGACUCCGUGUCCUUUGGUCAACCCCUCCGUUCAACAUGGGCCAAUCAAAAGACAACUAUAAGGUCAUGUGACAGACACAGGGAGUCAUAGACAGAGGAAUCCAGACCUGGCGACAGCAUCUUCCAGCAGCGUACGGUACGGUACUGAACACCCUCACCGCAGGUCCGAGAACAGUCGCUCCACCCACUGGUCUCCCACCUGUGGCACAGUGGUGAGAGACACGUUGGCAUGACGCCCCGUUGCCUCCGCAUACUCCACAUCUGUCCACUCUCCUGCUGCUGAAGAGCUCACCGUCGCAACCUACAGGCUGCAGGUGAGAAACAGAGCUCCGCGAACAAGAGGACCAACUGGACCACUCCCCCCACCACUGAAAGACCUCCUCCUGGGAGAGAAACACAGACAGAACCAGAGCCAGAAAAGAACAACCUGAACAAUAACAUCGAUUUUAGCUAAAGAAAAACCUGGGUCAUAACACCACGUUUUUAGCUUCUUUUUUUUUAUUUU
Long non-coding RNA from Cynoglossus semilaevis (tongue sole), 1513 nucleotides. RefSeq lists it as uncharacterized. Lineage: Eukaryota; Metazoa; Chordata; Actinopteri; Pleuronectiformes; Cynoglossidae. The transcript has 6 exons. The record is from RefSeq and is a predicted model, not a curated record.